This 685-nucleotide ribosomal RNA is filed under the name Klebsiella oxytoca. RNAcentral's name for it is "bacterial LSU rRNA". It matches the Rfam family "Bacterial large subunit ribosomal RNA", at positions 1 to 720 of the family's 2925-position model. The record is from RNAcentral. Lineage: Bacteria; Pseudomonadati; Pseudomonadota; Gammaproteobacteria; Enterobacterales; Enterobacteriaceae.
GGGUUGUGAGGUUAAGCGACUAAGCGUACACGGUGGAUGCCCUGGCAGUCAGAGGCGAUGAAGGACGUGCUAAUCUGCGAAAAGCGUCGGUAAGGUGAUAUGAACCGUUACAGCCGGCGAUGUCCGAAUGGGGAAACCCAGUGCAAUUCGUUGCACUAUCGUUUGAUGAAUACAUAGUCAAACGAGGCGAACCGGGGGAACUGAAACAUCUAAGUACCCCGAGGAAAAGAAAUCAACCGAGAUUCCCCCAGUAGCGGCGAGCGAACGGGGAGCAGCCCGGAGUCUGAAUCAGCUUGUGUGUUAGUGGAAGCGUCUGGAAAGUCGCAGGGUACAGGGUGAUACUCCCGUACACUAAAACGCACAGGUUGUGAACUCGAAGAGUAGGGCGGGACACGUGGUAUCCUGUCUGAAUAUGGGGGGACCAUCCUCCAAGGCUAAAUACUCCUGACUGACCGAUAGUGAACCAGUACCGUGAGGGAAAGGCGAAAAGAACCCCGGCGAGGGGAGUGAAAAAGAACCUGAAACCGUGUACGUACAAGCAGUAGGAGCCCACUGGUUGGGUGACUGCGUACCUUUUGUAUAAUGGGUCAGCGACUUAUAUUCUGUAGCAAGGUUAACCGUAUAGGGGAGCCGCAGGGAAACCGAGUCUUAACUGGGCGUUAAGUUGCAGGGUAUAGACCCGAAA